Molecule: ribosomal RNA, 497 nt
Filed under: uncultured bacterium
Lineage: Bacteria
Description: partial 16S ribosomal RNA
Rfam family: Bacterial small subunit ribosomal RNA
Source: RNAcentral
GACGAACGCUGGCGGCGUGCCUAAUACAUGCAAGUUGAGCGAUGAAGAUUGGUGCUUGCACCAAUUUGAAGAGCAGCGAACGGGUGAGUAACGCGUGGGGAAUCUGCCUUUGAGCGGGGGACAACAUUUGGAAACGAAUGCUAAUACCGCAUAACAACUUUAAACAUAAGUUUUAAGUUUGAAAGAUGCAAUUGCAUCACUCAAAGAUGAUCCCGCGUUGUAUUAGCUAGUUGGUGAGGUAAAGGCUCACCAAGGCGAUGAUACAUAGCCGACCUGAGAGGGUGAGCGGCCACAUUGGGACUGAGACACGGCCCAAACUCCUACGGGAGGCAGCAGUAGGGAAUCUUCGGCAAUGGACGAAAGUCUGACCGAGCAACGCCGCGUGAGUGAAGAAGGGUUUCGGAUCGUAAAACUCUGUUGGUAGAGAAGAACGUUGGUGAGAGUGGAAAGCUCAUCAAGUGACGGUAACUACCCAGAAAGGGACGGCUAACUACGUG